This 428-nucleotide ribosomal RNA is filed under the name uncultured bacterium. RNAcentral describes it as "bacterial SSU rRNA". It matches the Rfam family "Bacterial small subunit ribosomal RNA", at positions 355 to 774 of the family's 1533-position model. The record is from RNAcentral.
UGAGGAAUAUUGCGCAAUGGGGGAAACCCUGACGCAGCAACGCCGCGUGGGUGAAGAAGGCCCUCGGGUUGUAAAGCCCUGUCAGGUGGGAAGAACCCUCUGCAAGUAAAUAGCUUGCGGAGCUGACGGUACCACCGGAGGAAGCACCGGCUAACUCCGUGCCAGCAGCCGCGGUAAGACGGAGGGUGCGAGCGUUGUUCGGAAUCACUGGGCGUAAAGCGCGUGUAGGCGGCUCAGUAAGUCGGGUGUGAAAGCCCGGGGCUUAACCCCGGAAGUGCAUUCGAUACUGUUGAGCUUGAGUACGGGAGAGGGAAGUGGAAUUCCUGGUGUAGAGGUGAAAUUCGUAGAUAUCAGGAGGAACACCGGUGGCGAAGGCGGCUUCCUGGACCGAUACUGACGCUGAGACGCGAAAGCGUGGGGAGCAAACA